GUCGACGGCAGCACGGGAGCAAUCCUGGUGGCGAGUGGCGAACGGGUGAGUAAUAUAUCGGAACGUGCCCAGUCGUGGGGGAUAACGUAGAGAAAUUUACGCUAAUACCGCAUACGAUCUAAGGAUGAAAGCGGGGGACCGUAAGGCCUCGCGCGAUUGGAGCGGCUGAUAUCAGAUUAGGUUGUUGGUGAGGUAAAAGCUCACCAAGCCGACGAUCUGUAGCUGGUUUGAGAGAACGACCAGCCACACUGGGACUGAGACACGGCCCAGACUCCUACGGGAGGCAGCAGUGGGGAAUUUUGGACAAUGGGCGAAAGCCUGAUCCAGCAAUGCCGCGUGCAGGAAGAAGGCCUUCGGGUUGUAAACUGCUUUUGUACGGAACGAAAAGGUCUGCCCUAAUACGGCGGGCCCAUGACGGUACCGUAAGAAUAAGCACCGGCUAACUACGUGCCAGCAGCCGCGGUAAUACGUAGGGUGCGAGCGUUAAUCGGAAUUACUGGGCGUAAAGCGUGCGCAGGCGGUUAUGUAAGACAGUUGUGAAAUCCCCGGGCUCAACCUGGGAAUUGCAUCUGUGACUGCAUAGCUAGAGUACGGUAGAGGGGGAUGGAAUUCCGCGUGUAGCAGUGAAAUGCGUAGAUAUGCGGAGGAACACCGAUGGCGAAGGCAAUCCCCUGGACCUGUACUGACGCUCAUGCACGAA
Molecule: ribosomal RNA, 700 nt
Filed under: uncultured bacterium
Lineage: Bacteria
Description: bacterial SSU rRNA
Rfam family: Bacterial small subunit ribosomal RNA
Source: RNAcentral